GCCAGGCAGAGUGGUGCCUGCCUAUAAUCCCAGCUACUGGGGAGAUGAGGCAGGAGAAUAGCAAGUUUGAGGCCAAACUUGGCAGGACCCUGUCUCAA
Molecule: small RNA, 98 nt
Filed under: Marmota monax (woodchuck)
Lineage: Eukaryota; Metazoa; Chordata; Mammalia; Rodentia; Sciuridae
Source: RNAcentral